RNAcentral lists this ribosomal RNA (946 nucleotides) under uncultured bacterium. RNAcentral describes it as "bacterial SSU rRNA". It matches the Rfam family "Bacterial small subunit ribosomal RNA", at positions 451 to 1379 of the family's 1533-position model. The record is from RNAcentral.
GCUGCUCCUAUAGAGCGAUUGAUUUAGCGGCCGCGAUUCGCCUUGUGCCAGCCGCCGCGUAAACGAUACUAGAGAGCAAGCGUUAAUCAGAAUUACUGGGCGUAAAGAGCUUGGAGGCGGUUUUUUAAGUCAGAUGUGAAAUACCUAAGCUUAACUUAGGAAUUGCAUUUGAAACUAAAUUACUAGGGUUUUGUAGAGGGGGGUAGAAUUCCAGGUGUAGCGGUGAAAUGCGUAGAGAUCUGGAGGAAUACCAGUGGCGAAGGCGACCCCCUGGACAAAGACUGACACUCAUGUACGAAAGCGUGGGGAGCAAACAGGAUUAGAUACCCUGGUAGUCCAUGCUGUAAACAAUGUCAAUUUGAAGGUUGUAGCCUUGAGUUAUAGCUUUCGUAGCUAACGCGUUAAAUUGACCGCCUGGGGAGUACGGCCGCAAGGUUAAAACUCAAAUGAAUUGACGGGGGCCCGCACAAGCGGUGGAGCAUGUGGUUUAAUUCGAUGCAACGCGAAAAACCUUACCUAUUCUUGACAUCCAAAGAAUAAAACAGAAAUGUUUUAGUGCCUUAGGGAACUUUGAGACAGGUGCUGCAUGGCUGUCGUCAGCUCGUGUUGUGAAAUGUUGGGGUUAAGUCCCGCAACGAGCGCAACCCCUAUCCUUUGUUGCCAUCGAGUAAAGUCGGGGAACUCAAAGGGAGACUGCUUGGGGAUAAACCCGGAGGAAGGUGGGGGACGACGUCAAGUCAUCAUGGCCCUUACGAAAUAGGGCUACAACACGGGCUACCAUGGCAUAUACAAAAGAGAAGCGAUCUUGCAAAAGCUAGCAAAUCCUCAUAAAGUAUUGUCGGUAGUUCGGGAUUUGGAGUCUGGCACUUCGGACUCCAUGAAAGUCCGGAAAUCCGCUAGAAAUCCGAAGAUCAAGAAUGGCUACGGGGGAAUACGUUCCCCGGGG